Molecule: long non-coding RNA, 1610 nt
Organism: Papaver somniferum (opium poppy)
Lineage: Eukaryota; Viridiplantae; Streptophyta; Magnoliopsida; Ranunculales; Papaveraceae
Exons: 7
Source: RefSeq, a predicted model, not a curated record
AGUCUCGGUAUUGAAAACAAAUUCAAAUUCAAAAUCCUCUUUGUCUUAGUUCCUCCCUCUCUCUCUUUCUCGGAUACAAGAACAACAGAAAAAACAAAAGAAUUAUAUAUAUGGAAUUCCAUAAAGUUAUAAAGGAAGAAGAGACAGUAGCUACAAAUCGAUCUCACUCCAAACAUGAUGUAUAAAUGUAGGAAGAGAGCGUUGCGUUUUGAUUUUUCUAUGUUCUUUAACAUCUCAUUUUCUACAUUCACAACAAGGGUAUAUGGAUUUAGGACCUGGACAAAGAAGUAAGUUGUAUGGAUUAAUUAACCUUCUCUAUUGUAGAAUGUAGAACAUAUACUUGGGUUCAAAAAGCAAAUGUAUGAAAUUACCAAUGUAUGAAAUUCGAUAUGCCUACUAUGCCAGUUUUCGUAUUUGACAGAUAUCUACAGAUGAAAUUUUAAGCAUCACUCUCUAGGAUACCAAAUGGUCUGCCAGAGAAAUCAAGUCAUUUUCUCUCUGUCAGAAUCGGAAGCAACCUACUUGAGUCCUCCAAUACUAACACCUUCAAUAUAUGGAGAAGCAACUAACUCAAUCUGGAUUUUUCAUCGCGCAAUCUUUUCUUCCUGUCAUUCCAUACACCGUAUAAGCUGUGAAGUUUGUAUUUGGUAGCCUCGCUUGUUUAUUGGCGAUGGGUAAUAAUGGUGAACCCAACAUUGAACGAGAAACUAAUCGUACAAAGGUCCUUAACUUUCUAUGGUCUGUGUAUCGUAUUCGUAAGUACCACAAGGACAUUGGACGUAUUAUUUCAAAUGACGGACAGACAUGAUAGAUAGACGAAGAUGGACAUCAAAGAAACAGAAUGAAACAAAUGACUCAGAAGCAAGUUGACAUGGAACACAAAGUUCAAAGAAGUCUGGUGAAGAGGGCAAGGGAGGAAGAAGAGCAAAGAUGGACAAUUAACCAGAAAGAUAAGCCUGGAUAUUUUAUUCAAUGAAUGAAGUGCAUUGACAUUUCUUAUUUCAUCAUUAAUAUAGCAAAUGACGGACAUACAUGAUAGAUAGACGAAGAUGGAUACCAAAGAAACAGAAUGAAACAAAUGACUCAGAAGCAAGUUGACAUGGAACACAAAGUUCAAAGAAGGCUAGCGAUGAGGGCAAGGGAGGAAGAAGAGCAAAGAUGGACAAUUAACCAGAAAGAUAAGCCUGGAUAUUUUAUUCAAUGAGUAUCUUUGGGAUGAGCACACAGGGGUGAAUCGCGAAGUGCUUGGUUACGCACUGGAUGGGGCAGAUGACACAAUGAAGAAAACAGUGAAGAGAGCAAUGACUGGGACGAAAAUGACGAUAACAAGACAGAGAGGGAAAUGUAGAUGAAGACUAGGAUAUAUAAUACUCCGUAUUAGACUAAUGAUGAGUUUUGGGGUUUUGCAGGUAAGUUUUUGGUACACAGAUUUUAACGUUCUUAAUUUGCCAAGUUGAACUAUUUGAAUGCAUCGACAAAAACACCAACUUAUGCAUGAAAUGUGAGCUCGAACGUCAUGCGCAACGCACGUCCCCUUUACUAGUAGCAUAAUCUGAAGCAUCAUACAUGAUCUUAAAAGGUGGGUUCUAUUUAGGUGUCUGUACUUUGGG